RNAcentral lists this ribosomal RNA (326 nucleotides) under uncultured Bacteroidota bacterium. Its description in RNAcentral is "bacterial SSU rRNA". It matches the Rfam family "Bacterial small subunit ribosomal RNA", at positions 28 to 351 of the family's 1533-position model. Lineage: Bacteria; Pseudomonadati; Bacteroidota. The record is from RNAcentral.
GAUGAACGCUAGCGGCAGGCUUAAUACAUGCAAGUCGAACGGUAAGGUCUCUUCGGAGAUACACGAGUGGCGCACGGGUGCGUAACGCGUAUGCAACCUACCUUUAACUGGGAAAUAGCCCCGAGAAAUCGGGAUUAAUGUCCCAUAUUAUUCUUUGAAUACCUAUUCUGAGAAUGAAAGCUCCGGCGGUUAUUGAUGGGCAUGCGUGACAUUAGCUAGUUGGUGAGGUAACGGCCCACCAAGGCGACGAUGUCUAGGGGUCCUGACGACGGGUUAACCCCCACACUGGUACUGAGACACGGACCAGACCUCCGUACGGGAGGCAG